Molecule: unclassified non-coding RNA, 379 nt
Filed under: soil metagenome
Description: partial contains 5.8S ribosomal RNA, internal transcribed spacer 2, and large subunit ribosomal RNA
Rfam family: 5.8S ribosomal RNA (bases 1-120)
Source: RNAcentral
GAUGAAGAACGUAGCGAAAUGCGAUAAGUAAUGUGAAUUGCAGAAUUCAGUGAAUCAUCGAAUCUUUGAACGCACCUUGCACCCUUUGGCAUUCCGAAGGGUAUGCUCGUUUGAGUGUCAUUGUACUCUCACACUUCCAAUCUUUGGAUUGGGAGCAGUGGACUUGGGUGUUGCUGCUUACUGUGGCUCACCUCAAAUCGAUUCGUGCACCUCUUGGUUGGACAUAGUACGGCGUGAUAAGUGUCUUCGCCGGCACCUCAGUAGAGGGUGGCUGAUCAGGAGCUCUGUGCUUCAAACCGUCCUCGGACAACAACUGACAACUAGACCUCAAAUCGAGUAGGACUACCCGCUGAACUUAAGCAUAUCAAUAAGCGGAGGA